AAAAGAAGUGAGGGUCUCUGGGUCAACCUCCCACCCGUGUUUAUUGUACCUUGUUGCUUCGGUGCGCCCGCCUCACGGCCGCCGGGGGGCUUCUGCCCCCGGGUCCGCGCGCACCGGAGACACUAUUGAACUCUGUCUGAAGAUUGCAGUCUGAGCAUAAACUAAAUAAGUUAAAACUUUCAACAACGGAUCUCUUGGUUCCGGCAUCGAUGAAGAACGCAGCGAAAUGCGAUAACUAAUGUGAAUUGCAGAAUUCAGUGAAUCAUCGAGUCUUUGAACGCACAUUGCGCCCCCUGGUAUUCCGGGGGGCAUGCCUGUCCGAGCGUCAUUGCUGCCCUCAAGCACGGCUUGUGUGUUGGGCUCCGUCCCCCCGGGGACGGGUCCGAAAGGCAGCGGCGGCACCGAGUCCGGUCCUCGAGCGUAUGGGGCUUUGUCACCCGCUCUGUAGGCCCGGCCGGCGCCAGCCGACAACCAAUCAUCCUUUUUUCAGGUUGACCUCGGAUCAGGUAGGGAUACCCGCUGAACUUAAGCAUAUCAAUAGUCGGAGGAAA
Molecule: ribosomal RNA, 551 nt
Filed under: Penicillium glabrum
Lineage: Eukaryota; Fungi; Ascomycota; Eurotiomycetes; Eurotiales; Aspergillaceae
Description: eukaryotic LSU rRNA
Rfam family: 5.8S ribosomal RNA (bases 175-328)
Source: RNAcentral